This 59-nucleotide microRNA precursor is filed under the name Alligator mississippiensis (American alligator). RNAcentral describes it as "Ami-Mir-148-P4_pre stem-loop". The record is from RNAcentral. Lineage: Eukaryota; Metazoa; Chordata; Crocodylia; Alligatoridae.
GGAGUUCUGUCAUACACUCGGACUGUGCUACCUGGGGUCAGUGCAUCACAGAACUUUGU